UUUUAUAGCUCAUGCUUUGAUUGAUUUUGGGGCCACACAUUAUUUUGUAUCAUGUAGAUUGUGAAGUGUUUAAGUCUAAAACCCGUACCCCUAAAUCGCACUUUAGUUGUAUAAACACCGGCCAAGAACAUACUAGUUUCUAACGUAGUGUACAAAUCUUGUCAGGUGAUAAUAGUUGGUAGAGAACUAGCAGAAGACCUUAUACUCUUACUCUUUUAGGGUUUCGAUGUAAUUUUGGGUAUGGACUGGUUAACUAGCUGUCGUGCUAAUUUGGAUUAUUAUCAUAAGAAGGUAACUUUCACCCCACCCCAAUGAAAAACCCCUUUCUUUGUAAAAAAAUGUACGAACU
Molecule: long non-coding RNA, 349 nt
Filed under: Carica papaya (papaya)
Lineage: Eukaryota; Viridiplantae; Streptophyta; Magnoliopsida; Brassicales; Caricaceae
Description: long non-coding RNA (CPAP_LNC006786)
Source: RNAcentral